UACCCAAAGCAGAUGAUGAAAAAGCACUGAAGCUGACUCUGUGUGGAGCACAUUCAGUCCAACGCUGAGCUUUGUGCC
Cuculus canorus (common cuckoo) is the source of this 78-nucleotide small nucleolar RNA. It matches the Rfam family "Small nucleolar RNA SNORD69". Rfam says of the family: snoRNA HBII-210 belongs to the C/D family of snoRNAs. The record is from Rfam. Lineage: Eukaryota; Metazoa; Chordata; Aves; Cuculiformes; Cuculidae.